Molecule: ribosomal RNA, 800 nt
Filed under: uncultured bacterium
Lineage: Bacteria
Description: bacterial SSU rRNA
Rfam family: Bacterial small subunit ribosomal RNA
Source: RNAcentral
ACCGGCUUCUGGUGUGCCUCAGAAUGCAAGUCGAACGAUUAAGACUUCCUUCGGGAAGUGCAUAAAGUGGCGCACGGGUGAGUAACACGUAAGUAAUCUACCCUCGAGUGGGGAAUAACGUUCGGAAACGGACGCUAAUACCGCAUAACGCAGCGGCACCGCAAGGUGACAGUUGUUAAAGGAGCAAUCCGCUUGAGGAGGAGCUUGCGGCAGAUUAGCUAGUUGGUAGGGUAAUGGCUUACCAAGGCUACGAUCUGUAUCCGGUCUAAGAGGACGGUCGGACACACUGACACUGAAUAACGGGUCAGACUCCUACGGGAGGCAGCAGUCGGGAAUUUUGGGCAAUGGGCGAAAGCCUGACCCAGCAACGCCGCGUGAAGGAUGAAGUAUUUCGGUAUGUAAACUUCGAAAGAAUAGGAAGAAUAAAUGACGGUACUAUUUAUAAGCUCCGGCUAACUACGUGCCAGCAGCCGCGGUAAUACGUAGGGAGCAAGCGUUGUUCGGAUUUACUGGGCGUAAAGGGCGCGUAGGCGGCGCGGUAAGUCACUUGUGAAAUCUCUGAGCUUAACUCAGAACGGCCAAGUGAUACUGCAGUGCUAGAGUGCAGAAAGGGCAAUCGGAAUUCUUGGUGUAGCGGUGAAAUGCGUAGAUAUCAAGAGGAACACCUGAGGCGAAGGCGGGUUGCUAGGCUGACACUGACGCUGAGGCGCGAAAGCCAGGGGAGCAAACGGGAUUAGAUACCCCGGUAGUCCUGGCCCUAAACGAUGAAUACUUGGUGUCUGGAGUUUCAAUACUCCGGG